AAAUAAGUACUACUAUUUUCUACAUAGAUACCACUCAUGCGCAGAGAUUUCACUGAAAACAUCCUAUUUUUACUUCAUCGACAGAGUCCCUGUCAAAAAUGUACAUACUAUUGAGUUCUUUUAUAAGGACUGUUUGAGGUUUUUUAAGUACAAUAAGUGUACUAUUUUCAUAUUUGUUUUCUUUUUUCAAUUUCGUACCUUCAGUACAUAGUGUAUUAGAUUGUUUAUAACAGCACAAACAAGAAGAGCUGAGAAGAGAACAGCAAAACGACAACGUGUUUUGAGAGCUGCUGAAAGUUCUCUUCAGACACGAGUUCGUUCAGAAAGACAAGUUAUGCAGCAGGAAGCUAGAAGAGCGACAGCAACGCCAGAACAAUUGCAGGCAAGAAGAAUUCAUGAUGCAGAAGUAAGGACCACGCGUCGUCAUGACUAAGUAUUGGCCUGUAUUUAAUGGUACUGGUUUUCAAAAUGAUCCUUUAGUUGAGUAUUCUAAUCAUUCCUUAAAUGUUAUUGGCUCAAUGGAUCGAAAAUGUCAGUAUUGUGAUGCUUUUAAAUGGAAAGAUGAAACUGCUGGAAUGUGCUGCAGCGCUGGUAAAGUUUCACUUCCAUUACUUGGUGAACCAGAAGAACCUUUAAAAGCUUUAUUGUUUAGUGUCACAGAUGAGUCAAAAAGAUCUCUAAGUAAAACAAGGAAGUAUAACUCUUGCUUUAAAAUGACAACCUUCGGAGUUGAUAAAGUGAUAAGAAUGCCUGGAUUUUCACCAACCUUUACUGUACAAGGACAGAUAAUAUCAAUUGGUACUCAAGUAUUUCCAGGAUAUAAUGAUCAGCAUAAAUUGUUGCAGGUGUAUUUUCUGGGUGAUGAACAAAAUGAAGUAAAUCGUCGUUGCCAGUAUAUUGGUGGAGUAGAAAGAGAACAUUAUUAAAAUUGAAGAUUUUAAAAGUGCGAUGACAACUGACCGUCAGAUAAUUACAAAGUUGUCAUUUAAGCUGAUCGAACUCCAUGGUGAACAUGAGGCGUUAUAAUGCACCGCUGGUCAAUGAGGUUGCUUUUGGUUACUGGUGACCCGUGGUCCCCUCGAGACAUAGUGUUAAGCAUGAUAAUGCGUUAAAGCGCGUAGCUGAUACUCAUAAAUUUUAUAAUAUGAUGCUUUGCAGUAUGUAUUAAUUUUCGGCAAAGGUGAAUCGGAUAUCAUUUCAAUAUUUCAGUCAUCCAUCCGACAACGAACAAACAAUUCCAAAUAAAAAGUUUCCUGUAUGGACUUUAUGCGUAUUACAUGAUGCAUCGGAGCAUGACUUCAAUCUUCUUCUGCGUACAAGGCAACUCUUCAAUCAAUUUUUACUAAUAUGUAUAGAAGUAGUAGAGAGUGAACGUCUUCGUUACAUUUUCUAAAUCAGAAAAUUACGUGGUGAAAAUUACAUACAUCUACAAGAUGCGAUUAAGCAGAUGACAAUAUUAGCUAACGACAUUGGCAAAAUGGUUAUGCAGGAGUAACUCAAGACGCUCACUUAUUACGAAUUAUGACUGAUCUCGUAACUUUUCCUGUAAUCCUUCGUGGCAGAAUGUUACUCAAGAACUUAUGCCUGGUCAAAUAGCCACUGAUCGUCACGAUAUAGUUGCUCGCGUAUUUUGUUUAAAGGUACAGAAGUUAAUGAACGUUGUGACUAAAGGAAAAAUAUUUGGAGGAAUUCGAAACACUGCAUCACCUUGCAUGAAAGAUGGCAAGUGUACACCAAAAAAUAUUCUCGAGAACUGAUUAGAGAAACAGUUCACAAUGAUAAGGGUUACCCGUUAUAUAGACGAAGGGCGACUGCUGAUGGUGGUAAACAUGUUAACAUUCGGACUUGCAGUGGGAAAAUAAAGAGUUUUGAUAAUAGCUGGGUUGUGCCCUAUUCGCCAAUUUUGUGUAAAAUUUUCAACGCCCACAUAAAUGUUGAAGCCUGUAAUUCUGUACGUGCGAUUAAGUAUAUUUGAAAAUAUUAUAUAUCAAUAAAGGAAGUCAUCAAGCAAUCUUCAAUUUGCAUAAUAAAGAUGCUGUGCGAAAUACAAACCUACCAUGCAGGAAGAUAUGUCAGUAGCAACGAGGCGGCAUAGCGGCUUCGUGGCUUUCCACUGCAUGAAAUAUAUCCUACUGUUACAUCACAGUACAUUUAGAAAACCGACAGCGUGUUUUUUUAAUGACAAUACUUUUUAAGGCAGACGUUUGUAUCCCCCUGAGACAACACAGACUGCGUUUUUCAAGCUUUGUUAGAAUGAUAAUUUUGCAAAGACAUUAUUGUACUCUGAGGUUCCCCGUUAU
Bactrocera oleae (olive fruit fly) is the source of this 2300-nucleotide non-coding RNA. The record is from RefSeq and is a predicted model, not a curated record. NCBI's taxonomy places the organism in Eukaryota, Metazoa, Arthropoda, Insecta, Diptera, Tephritidae.